GCCUGGUUGGCUCAGUCGGUUGAGCGUCCGACUUCAGCUCAGGUCAUGAUCUCGCAGUCCGUGGGUUUGAGCCCCGCAUCAGGCU
RNAcentral lists this transfer RNA (85 nucleotides) under Felis catus (domestic cat). It matches the Rfam family "tRNA". From Rfam's summary of the family: Transfer RNA (tRNA) molecules are approximately 80 nucleotides in length. Their secondary structure includes four short double-helical elements and three loops (D, anti-codon, and T loops). Further hydrogen bonds mediate the characteristic L-shaped molecular structure. tRNAs have two regions of fundamental functional importance: the anti-codon, which is responsible for specific mRNA codon recognition, and the 3' end, to which the tRNAs corresponding amino acid is attached (by aminoacyl-tRNA synthetases). tRNAs cope with the degeneracy of the genetic code in two manners: having more than one tRNA (with a specific anti-codon) for a particular amino acid; and 'wobble' base-pairing, i.e. permitting non-standard base-pairing at the 3rd anti-codon position. Lineage: Eukaryota; Metazoa; Chordata; Mammalia; Carnivora; Felidae. The record is from Rfam by way of RNAcentral. RNAcentral also lists the same sequence under 2 other names.